GUGGAUGCCUUGGUAUUGACAGGCGAUGAAGGACGCGCCUACCUGCGAUAAGCUUCGGGGAGUCGGUAAGAGACUAUGAUCCGGAGAUUUCCGAAUGGGGAAACCCGGCAGAGUUAAUCCUCUGUCAUCUCGAAAGAGAAGCGAUACCCGCCGAAUUGAGACAUCUAAGUAAGCGGAGGAAAGGACAUCAAAAGAGAUUCCCAUAGUAGCGGCGAGCGAAGUGGGAAUAGCCCAAACCAGUAAUUUAUUACUGGGGUUGUAGGGCUAGCGAUAUGGAUUAUCAAAUUUUAACCGAACAGCAUGGGAAGGCUGGCAAGAUAGGGUGAAAGCCCCGUAGGUGAAAGGAUUCGAUAGACUAGCUAGUACCCUGAGUAGGGCCGGACACGUGAAACCCGGUCUGAAUCUGGGGGGACCACCCUCCAAGGCUAAAUACUCGUCAAUAACCGAUAGUGAACCAGUACAGUGAUGGAAAGGUGAAAAGAACCCCUGUUAAGGGAGUGAAAUAGAAUCUGAA
Molecule: ribosomal RNA, 514 nt
Filed under: Symbiodinium sp. clade D
Lineage: Eukaryota; Dinophyceae; Suessiales; Symbiodiniaceae
Description: partial Bacterial large subunit ribosomal RNA
Rfam family: Bacterial large subunit ribosomal RNA
Source: RNAcentral